UACAUGCAAGUCGAGCGGACAGAUGGGAGCUUGCUCCCUGAUGUUAGCGGCGGACGGGUGAGUAACACGUGGGUAACCUGCCUGUAAGACUGGGAUAACUCCGGGAAACCGGGGCUAAUACCGGAUGGUUGUCUGAACCGCAUGGUUCAGACAUAAAAGGUGGCUUCGGCUACCACUUACAGAUGGACCCGCGGCGCAUUAGCUAGUUGGUGAGGUAACGGCUCACCAAGGCGACGAUGCGUAGCCGACCUGAGAGGGUGAUCGGCCACACUGGGACUGAGACACGGCCCAGACUCCUACGGGAGGCAGCAGUAGGGAAUCUUCCGCAAUGGACGAAAGUCUGACGGAGCAACGCCGCGUGAGUGAUGAAGGUUUUCGGAUCGUAAAGCUCUGUUGUUAGGGAAGAACAAGUGCCGUUCAAAUAGGGCGGCACCUUGACGGUACCUAACCAGAAAGCCACGGCUAACUACGUGCCAGCAGCCGCGGUAAUACGUAGGUGGCAAGCGUUGUCCGGAAUUAUUGGGCGUAAAGGGCUCGCAGGCGGUUUCUUAAGUCUGAUGUGAAAGCCCCCGGCUCAACCGGGGAGGGUCAUUGGAAACUGGGGAACUUGAGUGCAGAAGAGGAGAGUGGAAUUCCACGUGUAGCGGUGAAAUGCGUAGAGAUGUGGAGGAACACCAGUGGCGAAGGCGACUCUCUGGUCUGUAACUGACGCUGAGGAGCGAAAGCGUGGGGAGCGAACAGGAUUAGAUACCCUGGUAGUCCACGCCGUAAACGAUGAGUGCUAAGUGUUAGGGGGUUUCCGCCCCUUAGUGCUGCAGCUAACGCAUUAAGCACUCCGCC
RNAcentral lists this ribosomal RNA (840 nucleotides) under Bacillus amyloliquefaciens. RNAcentral's name for it is "bacterial SSU rRNA". It matches the Rfam family "Bacterial small subunit ribosomal RNA", at positions 52 to 873 of the family's 1533-position model. Lineage: Bacteria; Bacillati; Bacillota; Bacilli; Caryophanales; Bacillaceae. The record is from RNAcentral.